AAGGGAGACCUAACCUAUUCGAUUCCGAAAGCACAUAGCGAUUAAGAACGAGUAAGGUCAUCUCAAAGGUCGUGCGAGGGGGGUAAACGGGAGUUACUUUUAAAUUUAGGUUCGUGGAAUGGGCUAUUAGCUCAGGUGGUUAGAGCGCACCCCUGAUAAGGGUGAGGUCCCUGGUUCAAGUCCAGGAUGGCCCACUUAUCACGAUGUCAUCAGCUACGCUGGGAUUAAGUUGAUAAAGAUGGGGGUAUAGCUCAGCUGGUAGAGCGCCUGCUUUGCAAGCAGGAUGUCAGCGGUUCGAGUCCGCUUAUCUCCACCAAAACCACAUUAACAGCUAGAUUGAAUUAGCAUCUGCAUUGCUAGAUAAGAAAUAUAUCUAUUGUCUAUUGAUGUUGAAUGCUGAAAGAGAUUCCAGCAAAGCACCUUGAAAACUGUACAAAAGAAUAAAGAUUAGUCGAAAAUACUAAUAGCUAGGUAGGAAAGUAUAAAAGCAAUCCAAAAAUAGCCAAAAAGAGUCUGACCUAGAUUGAGAAAGAAA
RNAcentral lists this unclassified non-coding RNA (535 nucleotides) under uncultured cyanobacterium. Its description in RNAcentral is "16S-23S ribosomal RNA intergenic spacer". The stretch from base 241 to 313 matches the Rfam family "tRNA". The record is from RNAcentral. Lineage: Bacteria; Bacillati; Cyanobacteriota.